AGAGUUUGAUCAUGGCUCAGGACGAACGCUGGCGGCGUGCUUAACACAUGCAAGUCGAACGGAAAGGCCCUGCUUUUGUGGGGUGCUCGAGUGGCGAACGGGUGAGUAACACGUGAGUAACCUGCCCUUGACUUUGGGAUAACUUCAGGAAACUGGGGCUAAUACCGGAUAGGAGCUCCUGCUGCAUGGUGGGGGUUGGAAAGUUUCGGCGGUUGGGGAUGGACUCGCGGCUUAUCAGCCUGUUGGUGGGGUAGUGGCUUACCAAGGCUUUGACGGGUAGCCGGCCUGAGAGGGUGACCGGCCACAUUGGGACUGAGAUACGGCCCAGACUCCUACGGGAGGCAGCAGUGGGGAAUAUUGCACAAUGGGCGGAAGCCUGAUGCAGCAACGCCGCGUGCGGGAUGACGGCCUUCGGGUUGUAAACCGCUUUCGCCUGUGACGAAGCGUGAGUGACGGUAAUGGGUAAAGAAGCACCGGCUAACUACGUGCCAGCAGCCGCGGUGAUACGUAGGGUGCGAGCGUUGUCCGGAUUUAUUGGGCGUAAGGGCUCGUAGGUGGUUGAUCGCGUCGGAAGUGUAAUCUUGGGGCUUAACCCUGAGCGUGCUUUCGAUACGGGUUGACUUGAGGAAGGUAGGGGAGAAUGGAAUUCCUGGUGGAGCGGUGGAAUGCGCAGAUAUCAGGAGGAACACCAGUGGCGA
This 698-nucleotide ribosomal RNA is filed under the name uncultured bacterium. RNAcentral's name for it is "bacterial SSU rRNA". It matches the Rfam family "Bacterial small subunit ribosomal RNA", at positions 8 to 718 of the family's 1533-position model. The record is from RNAcentral.